UACGUAGGGGGCAAGCGUUGUCCGGAUUUACUGGGCGUAAAGAGCGUGUAGGCGGCCAAGCAGGUCCGUUGUGAAAACUGGAGGCUUAACCUCCAGACGUCGACGGAAACCGCGUGGCUAGAGUCCGGAAGAGGAGAGUGGAAUUCCUGGUGUAGCGGUGAAAUGCGCAGAUAUCAGGAAGAACACCAAUGGCGAAGGCAGCUCGCUGGGACGUCACUGACGCUGAGACGCGAAAGCGUGGGGAGCAAACAGG
This 253-nucleotide ribosomal RNA is filed under the name uncultured bacterium. RNAcentral's name for it is "partial 16S ribosomal RNA". It matches the Rfam family "Bacterial small subunit ribosomal RNA", at positions 524 to 776 of the family's 1533-position model. The record is from RNAcentral.